UGCUCGGGGAGAGGAAAUGUCUGAGGCUGCAGAGGAUCCACGCUCAUUGAGUCCUUAAUUAAUACAGUGCUCUGAGACUGGAGAUGUACUGCUUAAUAGGCUGGCAUGCCCAAGAAAAACAGCUUGUUCUGAAUGCACAUUAAGGCUUGGCCAGCGCGUGUGUGAAGCAGAAGGGAUACACCACCAUUUCACAGCCAGCAGGCAUCGGGAUCGGAGAAGGCAGUGGAGGGCACGACGGCGUUUCCCUUCCUCCCGGGCACGUCCUCAUCUGUGUCAGCCGAAGCGCAUCCAUCAGCCCUGUGGGCUUUGCUCAGGCAUGCAGCACCGAAAGGGAUGGAGCUGCAAUGCAAUGCAAACUGCCAGAGCUGGUUAUUGAGAUCCGAGUGACCUGUUUCUGUAUGGGUACUUCUGCUUACAAAGGUGAUCCAUUUCCCUCCUCCCUGUAUCUGCCAAACCUGACAAAUAGCAGAUAGAGCAGCACCGCAUCCUGCCUCAGGUCAGCUUGGGAGCGCACACUGUGGCAAAGUCAAUACAAUCAGGAACCAAAGUAUCUAUAAACAUCAGGGGUAUGUUUGGUAGAUUGUGGAGGUGAAAGGAACCCCUGUGUUCACGUGCUCUGGACUUCUGCAUAAAGAGGAUGUA
This is a long non-coding RNA of Tyto alba (common barn owl), 642 nucleotides long. RefSeq lists it as uncharacterized. The transcript is spliced from 3 exons. Lineage: Eukaryota; Metazoa; Chordata; Aves; Strigiformes; Tytonidae. The record is from RefSeq and is a predicted model, not a curated record.